RNAcentral lists this unclassified non-coding RNA (2451 nucleotides) under Helicoverpa zea (corn earworm). Its description in RNAcentral is "uDP-glucose 6-dehydrogenase, transcript variant X2". Lineage: Eukaryota; Metazoa; Arthropoda; Insecta; Lepidoptera; Noctuidae. The record is from RNAcentral.
CUGAAUGUAUGUACGCGACGCGCGACGUACGGUAUCCCAUCCCUACGCAAAUGUCAUUGACUUGUGUCUGCAUAUUGGCUGGCUGACGAUUCACGAUUGCACAUCGGUUCGUGCUACAAUAAAAAGCUUGUGAGCGCCGCUCAGGCCUUAAUUACGGUCCAACGGCCCAAACAUUUGGUCGCCACAUGUGUUAAUCACAAAAACUCUAACAAAACCCACUCCAAACGGACGUGGAACGAUAAAAAUCGUCGAUCUAAUCUAGCAGUAAAACAUAGUAUUUUAAUUAGAUAAAAUCGCGCUUUUGAGUAUUGUGAACGUUGUUAAUCACUUCCGUGGUGUCUGAGCGUGUGGCUGGUGCAUUUGUGAGCAGUUUUUUUGCUGUAAAAACAUGGUUAUCGAGAAAAUUUGUUGCUUGGGAGCUGGAUAUGUCGGCGGUCCUACGUGUAGUGUGAUAGCCCUGAAAUGCCCUAAUAUUCAAGUUACUGUUUGCGACAAGAGUGUUGAAAGAAUAAACCAGUGGAAUUCCGACAAAUUGCCGAUCUACGAGCCCGGGUUAGACGAUGUGGUCCGACAGUGCCGAGGUAGGAAUCUUUUUUUUUCUACGGACAUCGCGAAAAGUAUACAGGAGGCUGAUUUGAUAUUUAUAUCAGUCAAUACGCCUACUAAAACGUUUGGAAACGGCAAAGGCAGGGCUGCAGACUUAAAAUAUGUUGAAAGUGCAGCCCGUAUGAUCGCAGACUUGGCUACCAGUAACAAGAUUGUAGUUGAAAAGAGUACGGUGCCAGUUAAAGCAGCUGAAAUUAUUAUGAAAAUAUUGAGAGCGAACACUAAGCCGGGUGUCGAGUACCAGAUUCUGUCUAACCCUGAGUUUUUGGCUGAAGGAACUGCUAUCGUUGACUUGGUAGAGGCCGAGAGAGUGUUAAUCGGUGGUGAAGAUACUGCUGAUGGUCAGAAGGCUAUUAAAGAGCUGUGCUGGGUUUACGAGCAUUGGAUACCAGCUAAAAACAUACUUACCACCAACACUUGGAGUUCCGAACUGUCUAAGCUAGCCGCUAAUGCAUUCCUCGCCCAACGUAUAUCAAGUAUUAACUCUUUAUCUGCCGUCUGUGAGGCUACCGGUGCCGACGUGUCAGAGGUUGCAAGAGCUGUAGGCAGAGACUCUCGUAUUGGACCAAAAUUCCUUGAAGCGUCAAUAGGUUUCGGAGGCAGUUGCUUCCAGAAAGACAUUUUAAACCUUAUCUACUUGUGUGAAUGCCUAAAUUUGCCUGAAGUGGCCGCUUACUGGCAGCAAGUACUCAACUUAAAUGAUUAUCAGAAAGCUCGCUUCACUAGAAAAGUCAUCGAGUCACUAUUCAACACGGUAUCGGACAAGAAAAUAGCCAUACUCGGUUUUUCAUUCAAGAAAAAUACAGGAGACACGAGAGAAUCACCCGCUAUUCAUGUAUCAACAACUUUAUUAGACGAAGGGGCUAAACUACACAUAUAUGACCCUAAAGUAGAACCGGACCAGAUUUUCUACGAGCUCACAAGCCCAUAUGUAACAUCCGAACCGGAGAAAGUUAAAAGCAACGUUGAAAUCCAUGAUACCGCAUACUCGGCAGUAACAGGGGCUCAUGCUAUAGUUCUAUGUACCGAAUGGGACGAGUUUAAGAUGUUAGAUUUUAAGAAGAUAUACGAAGUGAUGAUGAAGCCUGCGUAUAUAUUCGAUGGAAGGAAGAUCUUGAAUCAUGAGGCGUUGCAGAAUAUCGGUUUUCAUGUGCAGACGAUUGGGAAGCGGUUGAGCAGAGCGGGCAGUAUACGUGCUCAAGGAAGUCAGACGAUGCCUUAAUGUACUGAAGUUCAGCUGGAUAAUAUAAGAGAAAAUGAAAAAGCAGCGUGGUACGAGCCAGAAUAUUAUAAUGCUAUGGAAUUAACUAUUUUAUAUAAUUAGUAUUAAGUCUAAAAAAAAAAACAAAUAUUCUUUGGUAUAAAAAAAAAUUAUAUGUUCCUAAUUUUCGAUUGCUGUAGAGUAGGAAUGAGUAAGUAAAUGACAUAUUUUUUUCUUUUUUUUUUAACUUUUUUCAAAAAUACAUGUAAAAAAUUAUUAGGUUAAGAAAACUACAUAGCAUUAUAGAAACUUAUUUUCCGGUUAACAAACUGAAAGUCUUUUAAAUAACAGCUCUCGGCAUCCAUUCGAAUCCCUAUCAUUAUUUGUGAACACACUUUUAAUAAUUAUUAUUUUAUAUUUUAUCCACUUUAGACCAUUAAUCGUCAGUAUUGGUUGAAUAUAUAUAUCUGUGAAAAAAGCUUGUAAAUCAUGAUUUUUUAAAACUGUUCCGGAGAGCACGUUACUGUCGGUGGUGCUUGUGAUCUCUCUCCGGUGGUGUCGGCUUGUCGUCGCAUUGCGCCAUGAGAGUGAAGGAAUAAUAUGUCCUGCACAGCUGGCUGAUUUUCGUGGCCGAAUAUACUAAC